RNAcentral lists this non-coding RNA (29 nucleotides) under Rattus norvegicus (Norway rat). The record is from RNAcentral. Lineage: Eukaryota; Metazoa; Chordata; Mammalia; Rodentia; Muridae.
UCGAAAGGCCUAGUGCUUUAUUUGUGGGA